RNAcentral lists this unclassified non-coding RNA (199 nucleotides) under uncultured fungus. RNAcentral describes it as "sequence contains ITS1". Lineage: Eukaryota; Fungi. The record is from RNAcentral.
ACGUAUCUCUGGCGCGUGCCGGCGAGCCCUGCCGCGGCGUAAUUGCCGCGCGGGUUCACGGUGCCGUCCAACCUUAACAAACCCACUGUGCACAUUUGCGGCCGAGGGCGUCUGGGCGAGAGCUCGGGCGUUCGAUGCCGAUCACAAACUCCAGUUCAAUAGAAUGCCUAGCGGCCUCUGUGCCGUCUGAAACACAUAA